Molecule: ribosomal RNA, 614 nt
Filed under: Lepanus dichrous
Lineage: Eukaryota; Metazoa; Arthropoda; Insecta; Coleoptera; Scarabaeidae
Description: SSU rRNA
Rfam family: Eukaryotic small subunit ribosomal RNA
Source: RNAcentral
CCAGUAGUCAUAUGCUUGUCUCAAAGAUUAAGCCAUGCAUGUCUCAGUACAAGCCAAAUUAAGGUGAAACCGCGAAAGGCUCAUUAAAUCAGUUAUGGUUCCUUAGAUCGUACCCACAUUUACUUGGAUAACUGUGGUAAUUCUAGAGCUAAUACAUGCAAACAGAGCUCCGACCGGAGACGGAAGGAGCGCUUUUAUUAGAUCAAAACCAAUCGGUGGCGGGUCUCCCGUCACCGUACACCUUGGUGACUCUGAAUAACUUAUUGCUGAUCGCACGGUCUCGCACCGGCGACGCAUCUUUCAAAUGUCUGCCUUAUCAACUGUCGAUGGUAGGUUCUGCGCCUACCAUGGUUGUAACGGGUAACGGGGAAUCAGGGUUCGAUUCCGGAGAGGGAGCCUGAGAAACGGCUACCACAUCCAAGGAAGGCAGCAGGCGCGCAAAUUACCCACUCCCGGCACGGGGAGGUAGUGACGAAAAAUAACGAUACGGGACUCAUCCGAGGCCCCGUAAUCGGAAUGAGUACACUCUAAACCCUUUAACGAGGAUCAAUUGGAGGGCAAGUCUGGUGCCAGCAGCCGCGGUAAUUCCAGCUCCAAUAGCGUAUAUUAAAGUU